This 1970-nucleotide ribosomal RNA is filed under the name activated sludge metagenome. Its description in RNAcentral is "bacterial LSU rRNA". It matches the Rfam family "Bacterial large subunit ribosomal RNA", at positions 505 to 2330 of the family's 2925-position model. The record is from RNAcentral.
GAGGGAAUGGUGAAAAGUACCCCGGGAGGGGAGUGAAAUAGUACCUGAAACCGUGCGCUUACAAUCCGUCAGAGCCUUCCACUUUGUGGUGGGGUGAUGGCGUGCCUUUUGAAGAAUGAGCCUGCGAGUCAGGGGCAUGUCGCGAGGUUAACCCGGGUGGGGUAGCCGUAGCGAAAGCGAGUCUGAAUAGGGCGUAUCCCCGUGAGGGGUGUAGUGGCAUGUUCUGGACCCGAAGCGGAGUGAUCUACCCAUGGCCAGGGUGAAGCGCGGGUAAGACCGCGUGGAGGCCCGAACCCACUUAGGUUGAAGACUGAGGGGAUGAGUUGUGGGUAGGGGUGAAAGGCCAAUCAAACUCCGUGAUAGCUGGUUCUCCCCGAAAUGCAUUUAGGUGCAGCGUCGCAUGUUUCUUGCUGGAGGUAGAGCUACUGGAUGGCCGAUGGGCCCUACUAGGUUACUGACGUCAGCCAAACUCCGAAUGCCGGUACGUGUAAGUGUGGCAGUGAGACGGCGGGGGAUAAGCUCCGUGCGUCGAGAGGGAAACAGCCCAGAUCGCCGGCUAAGGCCCCUAAGAGUGUGCUAAGUGGAAAAGGAUGUGCAGUCGCUUAGACAACCAGGAGGUUGGCUUAGAAGCAGCCACCCUUGAAAGAGUGCGUAAUAGCUCACUGGUCAAGUGAUUGUGCGCCGAUAAUGUAGCGGGGCUCAAGCACACCGCCGAAGCCGCGGCAAUACCUGUAUGGGUAUUGGGUAGGGGAGCGUCCUGCAUCCGGUGAAGCAGCCGUGUGAACGAGCUGUGGAGGGUGUGGGAGUGAGAAUGCAGGCAUGAGUAGCGAUAAGGCAAGUGAGAACCUUGCCCGCCGAAAGACCAAGGGUUCCUGGGCCAGGCCAGUCCUCCCAGGGUGAGUCGGGACCUAAGGCGAGGCCGACAGGCGUAGUCGAUGGACAACGGGUUGAUAUUCCCGUACCCGUGUGUGAGCGUCCCUGAUGAAUCAUCGGUACUAACCAUCCAAAAGGUGGCUGACUUCUCUUUCGGGAGUUGCGGUCGCCGGCUGCGUGGGACCUUCGGUGGUAGUAGUCAAGCGAUGGGGUGACGCAGGAAGGUAGCCGUACCAGUCAGUGGUUGUACUGGGGCAAGCCUGUAGGGAGAAACCUAGGCAAAUCCGGGUUUCAUUAAUCCUGAGAGGUGAUGCAUAGCCGAUUGAGGCGAAUUCGGUGAUCCUAUGCUGCCAAGAAAAGCCUCUAGCGAGUGCACACACGGCCCGUACCCCAAACCAACACAGGUGGUCAGGUAGAGAAUACUAAGGCGUACGAGUGAACUAUGGUUAAGGAACUCGGCAAAAUACCCCCGUAACUUCGGGAGAAGGGGGACCCACACACCGUCAACACCCUUGCGGUGGGCAGCGGUAGUGGGUGGCACAAACCAGUGAGAAGCGACUGUUUACUAAAAACACAGGUCCGUGCGAAGUCGCAAGACGAUGUAUACGGACUGACGCCUGCCCGGUGCUGGAAGGUUAAGAGGACCGGUUAGCAGAACUUGUUCUGCGAAGCUGAGAAUUUAAGCCCCAGUAAACGGCGGUGGUAACUAUAACCAUCCUAAGGUAGCGAAAUUCCUUGUCGGGUAAGUUCCGACCUGCACGAAUGGCGUAACGACUUCUCAACUGUCUCAACCAUAGACUCGGCGAAAUUGCACUACGAGUAAAGAUGCUCGUUACGCGCGGCAGGACGAAAAGACCCCGGGACCUUCACUACAACUUGGUAUUGAUGUUCGGUACGGUUUGUGUAGGAUAGGUGGGAGACUGUGAAACUCGCACGCCAGUGUGGGUGGAGUCAUUGUUGAAAUACCACUCUGAUCGUAUUGGACCUCUAACCUCGGACCGUAUAUCCGGUCCAGGAACAGUGCCUGGUGGGUAGUUUAACUGGGGCGGUUGCCUCCUAAAAAGUAACGGAGGCGCCCAAAGGUUCCCUCAACCUGG